This 315-nucleotide ribosomal RNA is filed under the name uncultured eukaryote. Its description in RNAcentral is "partial 18S ribosomal RNA". It matches the Rfam family "Eukaryotic small subunit ribosomal RNA", at positions 1470 to 1796 of the family's 1831-position model. The record is from RNAcentral.
CCCUUAGACGUUCUGGGCCGCACGCGCGCUACACUGACCAGUGCAACAAGCAUCCGUCCUUGGCCGACAGGCCCGGGCAAUCUUUGAACGCUGGUCGUGAUGGGGAUAGACUUUUGCAAUUUUUGGUCUUCAACGAGGAAUUCCUAGUAAACGCAAGUCAUCAACUUGCAUUGAUUACGUCCCUGCCCUUUGUACACACCGCCCGUCGCACCUACCGAUUGAAUGGUCCGGUGAAGCCUCCGGAUUGGCGCGCACCUCGGUGCCGCCGAGAAGUUGGCUAAACCUUACCAUUUAGAGGAAGGUGAAGGCGUAACA